Molecule: ribosomal RNA, 468 nt
Filed under: uncultured bacterium
Lineage: Bacteria
Description: partial 16S ribosomal RNA
Rfam family: Bacterial small subunit ribosomal RNA
Source: RNAcentral
GACGAACGCUGGCGGCGUGCUUAACACAUGCAAGUCGAACGGAAAGGCCCUGCUUUUGUGGGGUGCUCGAGUGGCGAACGGGUGAGUAACACGUGAGUAACCUGCCCUUGACUUUGGGAUAACUUCAGGAAACUGGGGCUAAUACCGGAUAGGAGCUCCUGUUGCAUGGUGGGGGUUGGAAAGUUUCGGCGGUUGGGGAUGGACUCGCGGCUUAUCAGCUUGUUGGUGGGGUAGUGGCUUACCAAGGCUUCGACGGGUAGACGGCCUGAGAGGGUGACCGGCGACAUUGGGACUGAGAUACGGGCCAGAUUGCUACGGGAGGCAGCAGUGGGGAAUAUUGCACAAUGGGGGGAAGCCGGAUGCAGCAACGCCGCGUGCGGGAUGACGGCCUUCGGGUUGUAAACCGCUUACGCCUGUGACGAAGCGUGAGUGACGGUAAUGGGUGAAGAAGCACCGGCUAACUACGUG